CCUCUGACACCUUANAGAUAGGCGUUCCCUUCGGGGACAGAGUGACAGGUAGUGCAUGGUUGUCGUCAGCUCGUGUCGUGAGAUGUUGGGUUAAGUCCCGCAACGAGCGCAACCCUUGAUCUUAGUUGCCAGCAUUAAGUUGGGCACUCUAAGGUGACUGCCGGUGACAAACCGGAGGAAGGUGGGGAUGACGUCAAAUCAUCAUGCCCCUUAUGACCUGGGCUACACACGUGCUACAAUGGAUGGAACAAAGGGCAGCAAGACCGUGAGGUUUAGCAAAUCCCAUAAAACCAUUCUCAGUUCGGAUUGUAGGCUGCAACUCGCCUACAUGAAGCCGGAAUCGCUAGUAAUCGCGGAUCAGCAUGCCGCGGUGAAUACGUUCCCGGGCCU
Molecule: ribosomal RNA, 390 nt
Filed under: uncultured Bacillus sp.
Lineage: Bacteria; Bacillati; Bacillota; Bacilli; Caryophanales; Bacillaceae
Description: bacterial SSU rRNA
Rfam family: Bacterial small subunit ribosomal RNA
Source: RNAcentral